This 332-nucleotide long non-coding RNA is filed under the name Capsicum annuum. RNAcentral's name for it is "long non-coding RNA (CANN_LNC006858)". The record is from RNAcentral. Lineage: Eukaryota; Viridiplantae; Streptophyta; Magnoliopsida; Solanales; Solanaceae.
UUGAAAUGUCAAAUAGUUAUUUGAAAAUGGUGUAGUGACUUGAAAUGUGAAUAAGUUAUUUGAAAAUUAUUAAGUGUAGUGACUUGAAAAUGGUUUAGUGUAGUUACUUGAAAUUGCAAACUUAUGACUUGAAAACGGUUACUAGUGACUUGAAAAUGGUUAAGUGUAGUUACUUGAAAUGUGAAUUAGUUACUUGAAAGUGUUUAAGUAUAGUGACUUGAAAUGAAUGAUUAAGUGUAGUGACUUGAAAACGGUUAAGUAUAGUUAUUUUAAAUGUGAAGUAGUCACUUGAAAAUGGUUAUGUAUAGUGACUUGAAAUGUUAAUUAAUUAU